GGGACGAGCCCAGCACCGAAUCCCCCGGCAUGCAGCCGGCGGGAAAUGUGGUGUGCGGGACGCCAACUGCCGUCCGCGCCCGGAGACCGAAGUCCUCCUGAUCGGGGCCUCUCCCACAGCGGGUGUCAGGCCUUUACUGGUCUCUGGCCGGGCGGCUGCGAGCGUCUCAGGAGUCGGGUUGUUUGGGAAUGCAGCCCAAAGCGGGUGGUAAACUCCAUCUAAG
This 223-nucleotide ribosomal RNA is filed under the name Campeloma geniculum. Its description in RNAcentral is "partial 28S rRNA". It matches the Rfam family "Eukaryotic large subunit ribosomal RNA", at positions 100 to 314 of the family's 3401-position model. Lineage: Eukaryota; Metazoa; Mollusca; Gastropoda; Architaenioglossa; Viviparidae. The record is from RNAcentral.